This 427-nucleotide unclassified non-coding RNA is filed under the name fungal sp. RNAcentral's name for it is "partial internal transcribed spacer region". The stretch from base 1 to 46 matches the Rfam family "Eukaryotic small subunit ribosomal RNA", at positions 1786 to 1831 of the family's 1831-position model. Lineage: Eukaryota; Fungi. The record is from RNAcentral.
AAGUCGUAACAAGGUCUCCGUAGGUGAACCUGCGGAGGGAUCAUUAACACGUUUCCGAACGUUUAACUUUUCACAUCAACCGCGUGAUAUAACUGAAUCAAAACCCAAUGGAAAUCAGAGAAUUCUAUUUAGAAUGCACGGAGUGAUGAGUGUGUAUGUGAGCAAUUGCAUACACACCGGUGUAUCUAGAUUGGUAUUGCUGCUGUUUCACUGUAUGCGCAAGCAUGCUUUGAGACCAGACUCUACAAGACCUCUUUUCUCCAUAGUUCCCUUCAUCGCUGGAACGAAAACAACCAUUUUCACAUCUUAUAACCACUUGACUGAUAGGUGCUCAGCGUAGCGAAAGCCGCGUAUGAAACCACAACUAAUCAAAUAUCUAAGCACAACUCUUAGCAACGGAUAUCUUGGUUCUCGCAUCGAUGAAGAA